Molecule: ribosomal RNA, 1221 nt
Filed under: metagenome
Description: bacterial LSU rRNA
Rfam family: Bacterial large subunit ribosomal RNA
Source: RNAcentral
GGGCAAAUUGGUACCGUAACUUCGGGAUAAGGUACGCCCCUGUAGCCUGACUGGCCUGCGCCAGAAGGGUGAAGGGGUUGCAAUAAACUGGUGGCUGCGACUGUUUAAUAAAAACACAGCACUCUGCAAACACGAAAGCGGACGUAUAGGGUGUGACGCCUGCCCGGUGCCGGAAGAUUAAAUGAUGGGGUGCAAGCUCUUGAUUGAAGUCCCGGUAAACGGCGGCCGUAACAAUAACGGUCCUAAGGUAGCGAAAUUCCUUGUCGGGUAAGUUCCGACCUGCACGAAUGGCGUAACGAUGGCCACACUGUCUCCUCCCGAGACUCAGCGAAGUUGAAGUGUUUGUGAUGAUGCAAUCUCCCCGCGGCUAGACGGAAAGACCCCAUGAACCUUUACUGUAGCUUUGCAUUGGACUUUGAACCGGUCUGUGUAGGAUAGGUGGGAGGCUUUGAAGCGUGGACGCCAGUCUGCGAGGAGCCAACCUUGAAAUACCACCCUGGUUUGUUUGAGGUUCUAACCUUGGUCCGUAAUCCGGAUCGGGGACAGUGCAUGGUAGGCAGUUUGACUGGGGCGGUCUCCUCCCAAAGUGUAACGGAGGAGUACGAAGGUACGCUAGGUACGGUCGGAAAUCGUGCUGAUAGUGCAAUGGCAUAAGCGUGCUUAACUGCGAGACCGACAAGUCGAGCAGGUGCGAAAGCAGGUCAUAGUGAUCCGGUGGUUCUGUAUGGAAGGGCCAUCGCUCAACGGAUAAAAGGUACUCUGGGGAUAACAGGCUGAUACCGCCCAAGAGUUCAUAUCGACGGCGGUGUUUGGCACCUCGAUGUCGGCUCAUCUCAUCCUGGGGCUGUAGCCGGUCCCAAGGGUAUGGCUGUUCGCCAUUUAAAGAGGUACGUGAGCUGGGUUUAAAACGUCGUGAGACAGUUUGGUCCCUAUCUGCCGUGGGCGCUGGAUAUUUGAAGGGGGCUGCUCCUAGUACGAGAGGACCGGAGUGGACGAACCUCUGGUGUACCGGUUGUCACGCCAGUGGCAUCGCCGGGUAGCUAUGUUCGGAAGAGAUAACCGCUGAAAGCAUCUAAGCGGGAAACUCGCCUUAAGAUGAGAUAUCCCCGGGGCUUCGAGCCCCUUGAAGGGUCGUUCGAGACCAGGACGUUGAUAGGUCAGGUGUGGAAGCGCAGUAAUGCGUUAAGCUAACUGAUACUAAUUGCCCGUAAGGCUUGAUCC